This is a long non-coding RNA of Populus euphratica (Euphrates poplar), 1497 nucleotides long. RefSeq lists it as uncharacterized. NCBI's taxonomy places the organism in Eukaryota, Viridiplantae, Streptophyta, Magnoliopsida, Malpighiales, Salicaceae. The record is from RefSeq and is a predicted model, not a curated record. The transcript is spliced from 2 exons.
GUAAGAAAGGCGUUUGUUUAAAUUGAGGGAUUAUUAUAACUUGAAUCUUAAAAAUCGUCAAUAUUUUUUUUUUAAUUUAAAUUGAUUUAGUAUAUAAUUGAGGGAUGAUGAUGUUCUUUUAAUUCUAAAUUUCCUUGUUAAAGGUACUCUUUACUUUUGAUGAAGUCAUCUCCUAUUAUUUGCAUGUGAUAUGUGGAAAAUAAUUAAGCAAAUGAGAUGUUGGGGGGUUACCAAGCUAAGUAAAAUAUAAAAAGAGGGUUAAGUGUCGAUGUCGAGUUUGAUUAUAAAUCAACUAUUGUAGCAUGUUGAUCACUGCUGUAGAAAGAUUCUGAUCCUGAUCAGCCUAAACAAUGGGAACCCAGUUUGUUACUCUGGAGAUUUCCUGCAGUGUUCUAUUUGUAAUUAAUAACAUUAAUCUAAGUGGGAGUAACAAUUCUUGUUCUUGGUGUAUUGGUAGGAGCAACGACAGCAUUUGUUGUAAUUUAUGAGUGGCAUAGAAAUAGAAAUUGUUGGAGUUAGGUGUUUGAUACUGAAUCUGUUGGCGCUUGAAUCUUAUAUCCAGGGUAGGUUUGAAGGGUCUGUGACAAAACCCCACCUAUGAGACCUGAAUUGUGAGAUAUGACUAGAUUAAAUUUUAGCUUUCAUCUAUCCUACCUGAUUGAUUGAUCCGUGAAACCUGUUCUUCCUCGUGUCUUUUGUCAUGGAUUGGAGCUGUACUUUUAUUUUCGAGCAUUGUUGCAUCUGGACAAGAUAGAAAUGGGGAUAAAGCAUGGUAAACUUAGACCUGUUGGGUGAGCAACAAGGUAGAGGUUCCUUUUGAGUAUAUGGUUGACAGUUUCUCAAUUGAUAUUCUCUUGUUGAUUCUUAAAUGGUAGGUUUUGCUGUAUGUAAGACACAGGUAGAAAAAAGCGUGGCAAGGUUUUAUGUCUGAGCAUCCUGAAAUCUAAGAAGAUGCAGCUGCCUUGAGGAUUGUAAUCUAAGACAAAGGGGUCCCUUGUUCUAAAAGAGCAAGAACAUUACUGCAGUAUCAGGCGGAGAAAAGCUACACGAAGCUUCAUUGGCAUCGCCUGGAGGCUGGAACGUAUUUCUAGGGCUUCUCCCUGUACUAAACAUAUACGAUCUGUAAGUACAAGAGGCGGCGCAGUACAAUAUUGAAUCUGCUGUGUUAGUACAAAGGGGAGUGCAGUACAUAAUCAACUCAUAAAUAUCGGAUCACGAUGGGUUCUGCCAUGCCUUGCCGGGUCUAAAACCGACCAUCUCAUUAUAGCUGACAACGACUUGAGAGCGAAUACUGAUCCUGAGAUCACUUCUGAUAAAUGAUCUCGAGCGUUGACUAAAGAGGUCGAGGUGAUCCACGAAGCUUUGAGCCUGUCUACACUUAAGAACAGUAUGUUUGACCCAAAAAUCUAAUGAAAGACAAAUGGUUAGUUGGGCUUGCUUGAACUGAAUGCAUCCCAGUAUACUGUUGUUUGAUAUUUUGUUAUCUUCUAUCUUUUA